GCUCGGGUGAUGGAAUUGGUAGACAUAGCAGAUUUAAAAUCUGCUGGUCCUUGUGACCGUGCCGGUUCGAUUCCGGCCCCGAGCAAAU
RNAcentral lists this transfer RNA (88 nucleotides) under Brachyspira hyodysenteriae WA1. RNAcentral describes it as "tRNA-Leu". It matches the Rfam family "tRNA". From Rfam's summary of the family: Transfer RNA (tRNA) molecules are approximately 80 nucleotides in length. Their secondary structure includes four short double-helical elements and three loops (D, anti-codon, and T loops). Further hydrogen bonds mediate the characteristic L-shaped molecular structure. tRNAs have two regions of fundamental functional importance: the anti-codon, which is responsible for specific mRNA codon recognition, and the 3' end, to which the tRNAs corresponding amino acid is attached (by aminoacyl-tRNA synthetases). tRNAs cope with the degeneracy of the genetic code in two manners: having more than one tRNA (with a specific anti-codon) for a particular amino acid; and 'wobble' base-pairing, i.e. permitting non-standard base-pairing at the 3rd anti-codon position. Lineage: Bacteria; Pseudomonadati; Spirochaetota; Spirochaetia; Brachyspirales; Brachyspiraceae. The record is from RNAcentral.